Molecule: long non-coding RNA, 2208 nt
Organism: Danio rerio (zebrafish)
Lineage: Eukaryota; Metazoa; Chordata; Actinopteri; Cypriniformes; Danionidae
Source: Ensembl
CAAAAAGUAAAUGUGCAUCGUGUAGCUGGUGCAGUACAAACCUUAUAUUUGAUAAAAAUAUAAUUCCAUAGAUGAGCAUUUCAUCUUGUGCAACUUUCUUUUUUUUCCAGUCUAAUUUCCCUUUCUUUUUCACCUCUGACCUGCAGAUCCUGCAGUGGGAACAGAACCUGGAGAAGUUUAACCUAGAGCUCUUCCGCAUGCGCUGUUACCUGGCUAGCCUGCAAGGCACUGAGCUGCCCAAUCCAAAAAGCCUGCUAGCCACUGCUGGACGGCCCUCUAAAAUGGCGCUAGGUCGCCUGGGAAUUUUCUCUGUGUCGUCCUUUCAUGCGCUGAUAUGUAACCGUGACGAAGCCACACUGAAGAGACGAUCCCGCUCUCAUCCUCGAGGUGUGCGGAACAAACGAGGACUGCUCUUUUCUUCUCAGAAGGGAUUGGACAGUCUGACCAAACGCAACCGUGAAAAGAGACAGUCCAUGUCCCAGAUAUUUGAAGGAUAUUCCUCUGGAUCGUUUGGUCAUCCAUCCACGCAAAGCAGCUCGGAGGUGAUUAUACCAAUUCACAUCACAACGUAAAACUUAAUAUGUAUAAUUAUUCUAAGUGUUUAAAUAUACUUUAAGAGUGCUUUCACACCUGCCUUAUUCAGUUCGGUUGAAUCGCAGGCUCCAUUUACACUAGUGCGUUUUAGUUUUAAAACAGCGUUUUAGAUAAAAAACGAUCCGCGUCCACACUUGCGUUUCACCAAGCGUUUCUGAACAUAUCUCCGUCCACACUACGCCACCAAAAACGUAUAUCACGUGAUCAUUCGCACACUCUGGGCAUGCGCGUUCUAGUAUAAACAGGCAGCAUGUGUCUGGCUCUGUGUUCAGUUAUUGUUAGUCAACAAAUGCCGGUUGAACAAUGAACGCGAUGGCAAAAAAAGCAAGAGAGGUAUUUUUGUGGACAGAUGACGAAGUCAAGUUGUUACUAAACGUAACAAAUAAAUAACUGCACAAUGGCGCCUAAAACAGACAAUAGUGCAAACAGCGCUCCCAUUUCUGUGUCCGUGUUGUUGUUUACAGUGAAGGCUGGUCUGCUGUCUUCCCUUAGCGUUAAAGCCAUGUGUUAUAGUCAUGUGAUAGAGGCUUGACGAAUAAGGGAAGGAUACGCAAUGACACAAAAGCCCCAAUCAGGUAGCAAAUUUCAGCAGCCCCGCCUCCGUUUUCAGAUGUCUCCGUUUUCCCCCAUCCACACUGAGACGGAGCAGCAGCGUUUUACAAUGAAAACUGGCUCUUCAGCGUUUCCAAAACGCUCCGUUUUCCGCGCUCGAAAACUCCGGCGUAGUGGGGACGGAUGACGUAACUGUAGCAAAACUUAUGCAUUUUCAAACUAAAACGCACUAGUGUAAACGGGGACGCAGUAGAGUAUUUUUUCGCUUUUGGAGCGGUUCGUUUGGGCAGGUGUGAAUGUAGCAAUCGUACUCUAGUGCGCACCAAAAAACUAAUCCAGCUUCCGUAGGCUGAUGCGCUGUGCAUUAUGGGAUGUGUAGGAAACGUUACCUGAUGUAUCGUUAGUAAUAUUUUCGGAAGAUGACCAUGUCGCAGUUUAGCGAAUUGAUUUCACGACUCGACCUCAAAAGACCUUCAUCAUUUGCAAUGCAUUAAACCAUUGUUUCUAGCUGCAGCCGUGCAUCAUUCUCAAAAUAUAUAGUUGACUAAAGUGAUGUGUACAAACUAUUUAGUAUAUAUAGAUAAACAUCAUUUUGGAAAUAACUUAAAAAGGAAAAAAAAUUUAAAGAGGGACUAAUAAUUCUGAUUGCAACUGUAAUUGUUUAUAAUUGUUUUGCAAUGCAGUGGUAGUUUAACUUUUGUCCAGACUGCUUAAAAAAGCUUCUCAAAGUCAGUUUAGACAUCUUAAGUUGUUCUUCAGCUCUCGCGCCAUCAGAUGCCCAUAUUGAGGCUUCAUCUGAAGGACAAUAGAAGCGCACAGAAGGAUCCUCCUCCAUUUCAGCCGCGCUGAUGUGUUUGCUCUGCGUAUUGUCAACAGAUCAGCAGGUUGUUGUGACAGCUGUGAGUCGAGUCAGAGAAAGAGACCCCCAUUUCUCCCUCUCACAGAAGAAGAAGAGCGCUAAACAGACACUUACGUGUGUUUCAUUCGACCAGCAUCACAGCUUAGGAAUUUAGCACGUUUAGUUCACUAAAAGGCAGCGGUACAAUUAACACAAUGUAGCAG